RNAcentral lists this ribosomal RNA (827 nucleotides) under uncultured bacterium. RNAcentral's name for it is "bacterial SSU rRNA". It matches the Rfam family "Bacterial small subunit ribosomal RNA", at positions 1 to 776 of the family's 1533-position model. The record is from RNAcentral.
UCAGCCGGUACUCGCGAAUGCUCUAGAUUAGACGUUUGAUCAUGGCUCAGACNUGAACGCUGGCGGCCAAGCCUAACACAUGCAAGUCGAGCGGAUGACGGGAGCUUGCUCCUUGGUUCAGCGGCGGACGGGUGAGUAAUGCCUAGGAAUCUGCCUGGUAGUGGGGGACAACGUUUCGAAAGGAACGCUAAUACCGCAUACGUCCUACGGGAGAAAGCAGGGGACCUUCGGGCCUUGCGCUAUCAGAUGAGCCUAGGUCGGAUUAGCUAGUUGGUGAGGUAAUGGCUCACCAAGGCGACGAUCCGUAACUGGUCUGAGAGGACGAUCAGUCACACUGGAACUGAGACACGGUCCAGACUCCUACGGGAGGCAGCAGUGGGGAAUAUUGGACAAUGGGCGAAAGCCUGAUCCAGCCAUGCCGCGUGUGUGAAGAAGGUCUUCGGAUUGUAAAGCACUUUAAGUUGGGAGGAAGGGCAGUAAGUUAAUACCUUGCUGUUUUGACGUUACCGACAGAAUAAGCACCGGCUAACUCUGUGCCAGCAGCCGCGGUAAUACAGAGGGUGCAAGCGUUUAAUCGGAAUUACUGGGCGUAAAGCGCGCGUAGUGGGUUUGUUAAGUUUGGAUUGUGAAAAGCCCCGGGNUCACAACCCUGGGGGAAACUUGCGCUNCCAACUUGGGCACAGGCCUUAAGUNCCCGUANCAGGGGUGUGGGAAUUUCCCUGUGUAUGCCGGUGCAAAUGCGUAGAUAUUUGACAGGGCCCCCGUNGGCAAAGGCGACCACCUUGACUNGUUCUGGNCCCUUGAUGUCNCAAACNUUGGANCACCGG